This 450-nucleotide ribosomal RNA is filed under the name uncultured bacterium. RNAcentral describes it as "partial 16S ribosomal RNA". It matches the Rfam family "Bacterial small subunit ribosomal RNA", at positions 354 to 796 of the family's 1533-position model. The record is from RNAcentral.
GUGGGGAAUAUUGGACAAUGGGCGAAAGCCUGAUCCAGCCAUGCCGCGUGUGUGAAGAAGGUCUUCGGAUUGUAAAGCACUUUAAGUUGGGAGGAAGGGCAGUAAGUUAAUACCUUGCUGUUUUGACGUUACCGACAGAAUAAGCACCGGCUAACUUCGUGCCAGCAGCCGCGGUAAUACGAAGGGUGCAAGCGUUAAUCGGAGUUACUGGGCGUAAAGCGCGCGUAGGUGGUUUUGUAAGUUGUAGGUGAAAUCCCCGGGCUCAACCUGGGAACUGCCUCCAAAACUGCAUGACUAGAGUACGGUAGAGGGUAGUGGAAUUUCCUGUGUAGCGGUGAAAUGCGUAGAUAUAGGAAGGAACACCAGUGGCGAAGGCGACUACCUGGACUGAUACUGACACUGAGGUGCGAAAGCGUGGGGAGCAAACAGGAUUAGAUACCCUAGUAGUCC